GACCUGGCGGCGUGCCUAUCAUGCAAGUCGAGCGAACCACUUCGGUGGUGAGCGGCGAACGGGUGAGUAACACGUAGGUGAUCUGCCCAUCAGACGGGGACAACGAUUGGAAACGAUCGCUAAUACCGGAUAGGACGAAAGUUUAAAGGUGCUCCUGGCACCGCUGAUGGAUGAGCCUGCGGCGCAUUAGCUAGUUGGUAGGGUAAAGGCCUACCAAGGCGACGAUGCGUAGCCGACCUGAGAGGGUGAACGGCCACACUGGGACUGAGACACGGCCCAGACUCCUACGGGAGGCAGCAGUAGGGAAUCUUCGGCAAUGGGCGAAGGCCUGACCGAGCAACGCCGCGUGAAUGAUGAAGGCCUUCGGGUUGUAAAAUUCUGUUAUAAGGGAAGAACGACUUUAGUAGGAAAUGGCUAAAGUGUGUCGGUACCUUAUGAGAAAGCCACGGCUAACUACGUGCCAGCAGCCGCGGUAAU
Molecule: ribosomal RNA, 477 nt
Filed under: uncultured bacterium
Lineage: Bacteria
Description: bacterial SSU rRNA
Rfam family: Bacterial small subunit ribosomal RNA
Source: RNAcentral